Long non-coding RNA from Xiphophorus hellerii (green swordtail), 4270 nucleotides. RefSeq lists it as uncharacterized. The record is from RefSeq and is a predicted model, not a curated record. The transcript has 2 exons. Lineage: Eukaryota; Metazoa; Chordata; Actinopteri; Cyprinodontiformes; Poeciliidae.
UAUAAAAAAUAAGUCAAUGUUUAAAAAUUAAAUUUUCUCCCAAGUAUCUACUGUAUGAUUCUCUAAAAAAGUAAAACUUUCUCAGCACUAUGCACAAAACGAUGAAGGUAAAAUUUGCUUCAGUGUGAAUAAUGGAUUUCAGCUUCUCAAACCUAAUCUCCCUUUGAUUUCGGCCAAACCAAAACUCUAAUUCAUCAUUGGGGAUCCUCAAAGGUUUUUGUGAGAUCUACUACUUUAACAGUCAAAACUCUCUAGAAAUAAUAAUAACAAUACUAAUAAUAAAACUAUGGUUUUAAUUGCCAGAAAAAAAACAAAGAAAAUGUUGCUUCCAAAACUUUAAAAUCCCAAUGCAUGAGUGCUAGUGUCCUCCGUGCUGUUUCAAGUGGCAACAUUUUAGCAUAGCUGCUCUCUUUUGUAACAACAAUUAAAAAAAAAAACACAUGCAGGCACAGCAGCAGAUCAAUGCAGAUCACCAAAUGUACUGCAGAACAAAGCAGGAUGGCGUACUUGGACUGGGUGCUUGGUUCCAAGGGUACCUGGUUCAGUCCACUUCUCUGCUGCAUUAAUUGUGGCAGCAGUAAGGGCAGGUAAACAAAGCUGUUAGAGAGUAUAGUUGUGACUCAAACACGGCUCGCUCUAGCUUUGUCACCCAACUACUCGUAUGUCCAAAUGCAUCUGCCAAUCUUUCUCUCGUCUUUUUUUUUCUCCCUUGAAUGCAAUCGGUUGUUGUGAUACAAUAAAAACCCACUUUGAUGUCUGGAAGCAAUGUUAUAGAACAGAAUUGAAGCUAAAAAAGAAAAAGUAAAACUCAUAAGGUUGCUUGUUUCGGUUUAUGAACAUUUAGUGUUGUUCACGUUGCAAAAACAAUGUUUGUUUCCAGAAACUGUGAAUGGAAUAAACAUAAAUAAAAAAGAUAUACCUCAUCAGCUGUUGUCAGUUUUUACUCAUAAUGUACACCAUAUUGCUUAUAGCGCAUAAAGAGGAUAUCGUACCAAGUUUAUGCCUUUUUUUGUCUUUAACAACAAUAACUAUAUUGGGCAAAACCUGUACAAGUUUACUGCAUCCCCUCUUUGACAUCCAUAAACAUCCUGUGAGAGUUAUACAUAAAAUAGAAUUAUUUUGUGAUCACACAAUCCCUUAUUCUUUCAAUUCAGAUGUUACAUUUCUUUGAUGUAGUAGAUCUUUAUACUACACAACUUCUAUAUACAUUGAAUAAAAAUAUACUACCUAACAAUAUUUAUAAGUUCUUUACACAAAGACUGAUAUUAUAAUAGGCUCAAGCAAUGUUAAAAAUUUCAUCCCUUUAAAUGAAGGUAUAAGAAAUGUUCUGGUCACAUCACUUAUAGGAUGUCUGACUGGGAUGGCAAUGUAUAUUUGUUUAUUGCAACUCUAACUAUAUAUUACAUAUAGUGAUUACUUUUUGUACCUUGUUAAUGUAAAAUGCUAUUUUGAUAUGACACUGAAGAAAUAGUUACUGAACUGUACCAGCAUACAUAUAAUUUAUAUUGGAAUGGAAAUGAGGAGUGGAGGUAAAUGUUUUUCUUCACCCCACUCCUUUCUAAGUUUAAUAUAAGUUAUAUUAUUCUUACAUUUCUUUUGUUGUUUUGUUUUUUGUAGUACUGCAUAGUUAUUUAUAUAUAUUUUUCUUACCAAAUGAAAAGGUGUUACAUAAUAUUGUACUGUAUUUGAUUUCUUAGUUAAGCAGAAAAAAGUAAACAAGUACAAAAGUCAUUAUAGCAUAUAUAAAUUCCACUUAAAGUCCAAGUUUGAUGAUUACUCUUUUGAACCUCUAAUAGACUUUAGUUGAUUUAGUGAUUCAGUUUCAGCUUACCUGUAUUUUUGCUCACUUAUAUGUUUAAUCCUUUUACACAUAGCUGUCCCUGCACUGAGCAGAUAUUCAAAGCUGUUUUCUUGUGUUCAUAGGUGUUGAUGAUAAACUUGCAUAUGAUCCAUUUCAUUGGACUCUAUAACCUGCACACUGCCAGGCUAUUAGUGCAAGAUUACAAAAAAUGUGUUUUGUUUUUCAUCAAUCAGCCAUGAAUACAGAAACCCUCAGUAAUAUCUUCUCAGACCUUCUACUAUUGGACAUGUGUCAAUUAAUGUGAACAUCAGGCUUCUUUGACUAAAUAACGCCUUCAUUUACUGGCUGUAUUUCUCCUUGAAAUAUUCCAGCAGCACUGUAAAAAGAUGGACUUUUUUAGACUGUAAAUUGCACCUCUUAUAAAAAAACAAGUUAUUUUUACAGAUUCAUUUUAUGUGAAUUGCGCUUAUUUUUAUGUUAUAAGACUCAAGUCGAUGCAUUCAUAUUCCAUAAAUGAGAGUCAGUGAGGCCCGUUUGUCAGAUCAAAAGUACCUCUUAAAAAUAGCAAUCUUUGAGCAGGUAUUAAACAUACUUUCUAAGCACCAAUCUCUGUAUUAAAACUCUUUUCAUUGUUCUGGUGUAGUUUUCUAAUCUAAAAUUGCAUGUUUUCAUUGGUAUUAAGUGGAGAAAUCAUUAUUAUUAAAACAAGAAAAGGCUUGAAAACAUCAGUCUUUUGCAUUUAAUCCAUAUAAUGAAUUUCACUUAGGGAAUUGAGUUGAUAAAAUAACUGAAGGUUUCAACAGUAUUUUAAUUUAUUGAAUAUGACGGGAGAUAGAAUGAUGGCAGUUCAUCUAUGCCAGGAGUGCAUAGAUGAGGGUAGUGGAGAUAAGUCUCUCAGAAAAGGAACAUAUUUGUUAUUAAUUUGUGUCACAGAUAUUUUACUGUCAAGCCACAUUUUGUUCACUUGAGUGAACAAAACUCCUAGAAAAGUCCUUGUUUUCUUUCUCUUUUCUUUUCUUGUUUUUUCUUAUGGAGAAAUGUAUUUAAGGGUUUUUGCCAUAUGUAAAGUGUACCAUCACAUUGUUGCAGCUGUGAAUAUUCUAUCAUACAACACAGUAUUUAGAUCCAAAAUGCAUGCAAAUAACUGCAUUUGCUGCCGAUCCCACACCCCCCCAUGCUAACACUCUGGAGAUGUAUCUUCUACUCCAAAGUGUCAGAGCUCUCUGAGUGCUGCACAUGGAGACAGAAACUUUCUAAAUCGUGAAGCUGCACAUCAAUGAGAUGUUUUUACCUGCCUGUUUGUCCCCCACUUUGGGAUCCUUUUAUUCAGAAGGCCGCCUGAUAGCCCAUCAUUAUUUAGAUGAAGUCACAUAAACACAUCGCAAAGCUACUUCAGAUCUGGACAGAUCCGAGACCACACCAUGUGGGAGCAUUUUAAAUACAUAACUAAAUCAGUCUUUUUUUUAAGCUGUAUGAAAAAUACUAAAUUGGCUUUUCUCUUUUUUCUAGAAAGUUAAUUCUGUUUGUUUCAGCUGCUGAACAUAAAAGUCUUCAUCAUAAAAGGAAUUCGGAGAAGAGGCUCCUUUUAUGCAGUAGAAUGUCAGCCUUCCUUGCCCGACCGCUUCCAAGCACGCUUGAUGUCAUAUUGUCCACCUGAUCAUUUCGCUACCUGCUGUCCUCCUCAAGGCUGCCCUCUCGCUGCUCCACCACUCGAGAUGCUUGGCUGACUCCUCUGAAACCAUCAUGUUGUUGUGUGCUAGAACCCAGCAGACUGUUCUUCUUCUCUCCUUUCAACUGUGAGCGCAGGCAAGGAUUCCUCUGCUCAUAUGAUGUUUUCAUAUGAGUGUGCCAGUGUUAAGUCUUGUUUUUGUCGGUGUUGCUUGCAUUUUAAAAAGGGCAAUGCAGCUGCAAAUGGAAAUGAAUUUAACAUGUGCAGCUUUUCAAAAAUAAGCUACUGUCUUGCGCAGCUGCAACCAUUACUACCUAUCAUGUUUAUGAGUGCCUCUGUAGAUCAGCGCAAGCCCCCCUUGACCCUUCAAGGAUAAAUGGUUAGACAAUGGAUAGAUGGAUGCAUGUUUGUGAAUAAAUUGAAAACUUUUUGUUUUUUACAUGUAAUUCUGUGGUAUUACAAAUAUCAAAUUUAAAUGUUUUGCUUAAUGUUUUUAGAUUGUACAACUUCUGCUGUCAUUUAGUUAAUGCUAUUAUGUAGAUUCUGUCUCAUUUUUAGCAUUUCUGUUUUGCCUUCUGGUGGGAAAAUAAUAUGUAACUGGUUGACUGACUUUUUUUUCCACAAACAGUGUCUUGCAAAAAUGUUCAUAAUCCUCAAACAUUUAGUCACAUUUCAGCUCUAGAGUAUUUUAAUAGGAUUUUGUGUUCUGCACCACUACAAAGUAGUGCAUAAUUCUGAAGUGAAAUGAAGAUUAUUCCUGGUUUUAAGACUUUUGCAAAUAAAAAAAAAUUGAAACUUGA